Molecule: long non-coding RNA, 533 nt
Organism: Saccostrea cuccullata (small rock oyster)
Lineage: Eukaryota; Metazoa; Mollusca; Bivalvia; Ostreida; Ostreidae
Exons: 3
Source: RefSeq, a predicted model, not a curated record
AGAUUAAAUCAGUUGUGUUAUAACUUCCGGCAUAAAAGUGUAUAUAAAGAGUCAAAUUGGCUCUGAGAUAAAUAAAGUUUUACUCUGGUAUAGUAGAGUUAUUAGAUACCGUAACAAAAGAUGAUGAGUUUGUUGCCAUUUUCUCUUGGUGUUCUGCUUAUAGCAGCCGUGAGCAUUGAUGUUACUUCAUCUGUGUCUCUUGUGGAAGGACCCUGCUUCGGUCUGUCGGAAUGCAAUGCAAUGAAAUGUUUGAAGUAUUGUACAGGAAUCGGCUAUCGUACCGCUAAUUGUCACCUUGAUGUCAAUCGCUGUGCAUUAGCAGGGUACACUGGAGAGUACAGGUGCCAAUGCAGUGAGGUUGACCUGUUUCCAUACGUCUAAAAGCCAUCUCGAAAUAAAAUAAAACAAUCAUAUUGUCCUCUCAGCUAAUCCAUUCAGACCAAUAUGAUAUUCAUUAACCAUGUGCACAAAGCAAAUUCAAUGUAAUUGCUAACUAUUUUUUUUUAUGGAAAAUUAAACUUUUUUGCAGUUUA